AGAGUUUGAUCAUGGCUCAGGAUGAACGCUAGCUACAGGCUUAACACAUGCAAGUCGAGGGGAAACGAUAUUGGAAGCUUGCUUCCGAUAGGCGUCGACCGGCGUACGGGUGAGUAACGCGUAUCCAACCCGCCCACCACGUUGGGGAUAACCUUGACGAAAGUAAGACUAAUACCCAAUGACGUCUCUAGAAGACAUCUAGAAAGAGAUUAAAGUAUUUAUCGGUGAUGGAGUGGGGAUGCGUCUGAUUAGCUUGUUGGGCGGGGUAACCGGCCCACCAAGGCGACGAUCAGGUAGGGUUCUGAGAGGAACGGCCCCCACAUUGGAACUGAGACACGGUCCAAACUCCUACGGGAGGCAGCA
Molecule: ribosomal RNA, 363 nt
Filed under: uncultured bacterium
Lineage: Bacteria
Description: bacterial SSU rRNA
Rfam family: Bacterial small subunit ribosomal RNA
Source: RNAcentral